Molecule: ribosomal RNA, 556 nt
Filed under: Candida albicans
Lineage: Eukaryota; Fungi; Ascomycota; Pichiomycetes; Serinales; Debaryomycetaceae
Description: LSU rRNA
Rfam family: Eukaryotic large subunit ribosomal RNA
Source: RNAcentral
UAUCAAUAAGCGGAGGAAAAGAAACCAACAGGGAUUGCCUCAGUAGCGGCGAGUGAAGCGGCAAAAGCUCAAAUUUGAAAUCUGGCGUCUUUGGCGUCCGAGUUGUAAUUUGAAGAAGGUAUCUUUGGGCCCGGCUCUUGUCUAUGUUCCUUGGAACAGGACGUCACAGAGGGUGAGAAUCCCGUGCGAUGAGAUGACCCGGGUCUGUGUAAAGUUCCUUCGACGAGUCGAGUUGUUUGGGAAUGCAGCUCUAAGUGGGUGGUAAAUUCCAUCUAAAGCUAAAUAUUGGCGAGAGACCGAUAGCGAACAAGUACAGUGAUGGAAAGAUGAAAAGAACUUUGAAAAGAGAGUGAAAAAGUACGUGAAAUUGUUGAAAGGGAAGGGCUUGAGAUCAGACUUGGUAUUUUGCAUGCUGCUCUCUCGGGGGCGGCCGCUGCGGUUUACCGGGCCAGCAUCGGUUUGGAGCGGCAGGAUAAUGGCGGAGGAAUGUGGCACGGCUUCUGCUGUGUGUUAUAGCCUCUGACGAUACUGCCAGCCUAGACCGAGGACUGCGGUU